Homo sapiens (human) is the source of this 319-nucleotide long non-coding RNA. RefSeq lists it as uncharacterized. The transcript is spliced from 3 exons. Lineage: Eukaryota; Metazoa; Chordata; Mammalia; Primates; Hominidae. The record is from RefSeq and is a predicted model, not a curated record.
CCGACUCCAAUUCCCAACCCCCAGGCGCAGAGUAAGAAAAUGAGCUGGAACUGUCUCCUGAAGCCUGUCAAUGUGAGAUGCCUUGCUCUCCCUUUGCCUUCUGCCAUGAUUGUAACCUUCCUGAGGCCUUACCAGAAGCGCAUGCCGGUGCUAUGCUUCCUGUACAGCCUGCAGAACGAGGCCACAAGUUCCAGAUGGCAUUACUACAAGGGAGGAGCAACCUGGAUUCCUGGAUUUCUGCUCAGAAGAGGACUGCCCUGGAGAGCUACUCAGUUACACUUCAAAUAAGCGAAAAUAAACUUUUAUUUUAUUAAGCCAA